RNAcentral lists this unclassified non-coding RNA (519 nucleotides) under Yarrowia lipolytica. Lineage: Eukaryota; Fungi; Ascomycota; Dipodascomycetes; Dipodascales. The record is from RNAcentral.
CAUAGAUCUGGGUGUUUAAAGCAGCGUCAGUUUACUGGUUCGCCUUUGUUGACACCAUUCUCGGCGCUCGAGCGGAGGGUGGCAUAGACAGCUCUCCAGGCUCCCUCUGGCAACAGAGAGACAGGGCCUGCGACCUGUGUAGCCGUUCAAGGGUGUCACUUUCUCUUCCUUUUACGUAGGAAGUCCCCGCCGACGGAUCUUAGAUUAAAGCAACUUGUGGUUCUUAUCGUGGCGAGUCCUUGUGGCUUGUCAGCCCGUGCUUUGAGCGCGCCUUCGGGCUGCUGCUCAGUACGGGUAAUGGUUUGCGCUAUGGGUUGUGGCGGCAUAUUCCUAAACACUGCGUCGGACCAUUGGUCAGUAGGCGUUGGGGUAAAGCCAUGCUGCAGACAUCUUAUAUUUAUAGAAUCAUUAUGUAAAUAUGGAGGGACACAAGCUUUCACUGGCUAUUCGCGUGAUCUGAUUCCGUUGCGUCGACCGCUGGGUUUCAGUUAUUGACAGAGCGUUUCAUGGACGCAUUAU